Molecule: ribosomal RNA, 250 nt
Filed under: uncultured bacterium
Lineage: Bacteria
Description: partial 16S ribosomal RNA
Rfam family: Bacterial small subunit ribosomal RNA
Source: RNAcentral
UACGGAGGUGGCAAGCGUUGUUCGGAAUUACUGGGCGUAAAGGGCGCGUAGGCGGCAUGGCAAGUCGGAUGUGAAAUCCCCGGGCUUAACCUGGGAAUUGCAUCCGAAACUGCUUUGCUUGAGUCCUGGAUGGGGUAGUGGAAUUCCCAGUGUAGCGGUGAAAUGCGUAGAUAUUGGGAGGAACACCGGUGGCGAAGGCGGCUACCUGGACAGUGACUGACGCUGAGGCGCGAAAGCUAGGGGAGCGAAC